RNAcentral lists this long non-coding RNA (663 nucleotides) under Coturnix japonica (Japanese quail). RNAcentral's name for it is "lncRNA (ENSCJPG00005004826.1)". The record is from RNAcentral. Lineage: Eukaryota; Metazoa; Chordata; Aves; Galliformes; Phasianidae.
GAUCCCAGAGGUCUUCUCCAACCACAAUGAUUCUAUGGUUCUGUGGUUCUGUGAUGCUCUGCCCGUGUCACAGGCACCCCCGGCGACAGCCCUGUGGGUGCUUCCCAGUGCGUGCGGACAGGCAGAGCUGCUGGCCUCAACACAGCUGUGUCCCUGAGUCACUUAUGGGAUGAAGCCAGGAGCCCUUUAAAAAAUAUUUGGGAGCAGUCAUUAAGUUGAGAAUGGGAUAAACAGAAGAACUCAAGCCAUCCAUUCACCACAGCUUCCUAUUCCCCCUCGGAGGAGGCAGCAGAGGUGGGGACAGGCAGCACUGAGCUCUAGCACAGCGAUCAGCCCUGGCGAGCCCUGGGGACAGCCUUGGGGUCGGUCCUGGGCUCACCCUUGGGGUCAGCACUGUGGUAACAUAUGGGUCCUGUUGGUGACACUUUGCCAGGCUCUCCCAGCUGAUCUCUUUGCUGAUCUGGCCAUGCAGUGGAUUCCAGCACUGCAAAAAAGCCUGAGCUGUUUGUGCAGGGGGCACCAAUGUAUUGCAGAGUGUCAUUCUGGGGCUUGGAACCGCUGUUCCAGCUGCAGCAGCUCAGAAACUGUGCAAAGUUCUGUAGUAACAUGCAAAUUGCAGCAUUUUGGGGCGGGUCUGUAUGUAAAGCUUGUAAAUUAAUAAAC